CAAAUGUUUUGUUUGUUUAAUAUUCAUUACAAGCCUAAGAUAACUAUUUUUAAAUCUUAAGUAUUUUUUUUUGGUGAUUAUUCUAGCCAGAACGGGUAUGGAUUCAAAACACAAAUACGACAACAAACUUAGUAACACGUUAUUUCUUAAAAAAUUUAGAAGUGGGGUCAUAAAAAUGAAACAUGUAUUAAAAUAUAUAAACACAUAUCUCUACAUGAAUGAAAUUCAAGGCAAAUAGUUGGGUAGAGGAAAGGUUCCUUUUUCUAGGGUGCCUCGGAAACAGAUUCAGUGGAGACGGGGUGCGUGACUACGAAUCAUGGUGUCGGGGGUUCGAAUCCAUCCUCACUCACAACCGGCUAAAAAUGGUGUGUAUAUGAUCCGACCAGUAUUGAAAUGCUCAAGUGGUGUAAAACACAAACUAAAAGGUUCAUGUUUCUUAGGGAUUAUCGUUAGAUCUGAUUUUAAAAUAAACGAAGUUUUUCCUUUUAAAAUUAUGAUCUUCGCCUUGAUUAAUAUAUCCAGACAUGCUGCAAGCAAGAUGACGUUGAAGAGAAAAGGUGAUGUCUGAAGUUACCCAGCUUCGCAAACGCAGCCAGCAGCUUAUUUCGAGGAGCUACGAACUGGUGUCUAGGGGCUUUGAUAGACUCAUGGAUGCUGAUGAGAGUUUCUCCAACCCAAUGGCGGAUAGCUUUUGAACUUCAUCACUUGAUGUUUGCGCCAGCAGACACUUGACGAGCAAAGGCAACAUGUCAAAAUUGAAUAUCCGUUCUAUGUUGAACUGCUUUCCUUUGCUGAUGCUCGACAGGUCUUUGAUUGCCUCGAGCACCAUUUCAUCUGAACUGGCUAGGGACAGAGCAGCUCGUGCGACUUUGAUUGUUGCUAUCUCAUUACGUUCCUUCCAUUUGUCUAUUGUAGACUUCAGAGCUCUGUUUGAAUUAACAGCUUUGGACACAAGCUUUUGCCCUGUGACUGGGCAGAAAACUUCCUCAGAUUCUUCAAACUCUUCAAACCACUCGACGAUUGCUUUUCUUUCGUAUGUCACUCCCGUUUCAAGGCUAACCGGAUCAUCCAUGAUGUCUUUCGUCAACGGACAGAUGAAGGUCUCGAAAAG
Cucurbita pepo subsp. pepo (vegetable marrow) is the source of this 1111-nucleotide RNA transcript. It is a transcript of the gene named pentatricopeptide (PPR) repeat-containing protein, with no coding region annotated. The record is from RefSeq and is a predicted model, not a curated record. NCBI's taxonomy places the organism in Eukaryota, Viridiplantae, Streptophyta, Magnoliopsida, Cucurbitales, Cucurbitaceae.